GACGAACGCUGGCGGCGUGCCUAAUACAUGCAAGUAGAACGCUGAAGGAAGGAGCUUGCUCUUUCCGGAUGAGUUGCGAACGGGUGAGUAACGCGUAGGUAACCUGCCUGGUAGCGGGGGAUAACUAUUGGAAACGAUAGCUAAUACCGCAUAACAGUAGAUAUCGCAUGAUAUGUGCUUGAAAGGUGCAAUUGCACCACUACCAGAUGGACCUGCGUUGUAUUAGCUAGUUGGUGAGGUAACGGCUCACCAAGGCAACGAUACAUAGCCGACCUGAGAGGGUGAUCGGCCACACUGGGACUGAGACACGGCCCAGACUCCUACGGGAGGCAGCAGUAGGGAGUCUUCGGCAAUGGACGGAAGUCUGACCGAGCAACGCCGCGUGAGUGAAGAAGGUUUUCGGAUCGUAAAGCUCUGUUGUAAGAGAAGAACGAGUGUGAGAGUGGAAAGUUCACACUGUGACGGUAUCUUACCAGAAAGGGACGGCUAACUACGUGCCAGCAGCCGCGGUAAUACGUAGGUCCCGAGCGUUGUCCGGAUUUAUUGGGCGUAAAGCGAGCGCAGGCGGUUAGAUAAGUCUGAAGUUAAAGGCUGUGGCUUAACCAUAGUACGCUUUGGAAACUGUUUAACUUGAGUGCAAGAGGGGAGAGUGGAAUUCCAUGUGUAGCGGUGAAAUGCGUAGAUAUAUGGAGGAACACCGGUGGCGAAAGCGGCUCUCUGGCUUGUAUCUGACGCUGAGGCUCGAAAGCGUGGGGAGCAAACAGG
Molecule: ribosomal RNA, 765 nt
Filed under: uncultured Streptococcus sp.
Lineage: Bacteria; Bacillati; Bacillota; Bacilli; Lactobacillales; Streptococcaceae
Description: bacterial SSU rRNA
Rfam family: Bacterial small subunit ribosomal RNA
Source: RNAcentral